This is a long non-coding RNA of Lycium barbarum (goji berry), 1553 nucleotides long. RefSeq lists it as uncharacterized. Lineage: Eukaryota; Viridiplantae; Streptophyta; Magnoliopsida; Solanales; Solanaceae. The transcript has 2 exons. The record is from RefSeq and is a predicted model, not a curated record.
GGAAAUGGGGGUGAGAUUAGGGGUGGGGGGAGAUAAUCAACAUGAAAGGCCGUUUAUGAAACUUGUUUUCUCUAAUAUUAUAAGGGAAGUAAUUUUCUGACUUUUAAGGAAAUUGUUUUUCUUAGAGGAAAUGUUGACCAACCAAACAUAGAAAAAUUUCUCCGUAUUGAACACACCCUUAAAAGUUUUAACUGAUAUUCUCACUAUCAAACUAUCUUUGCAACUACUACUUCAGUACCCUUCUGUACAUAAAGUCAAACUGAUAUUUAAACUUAGUACUCAAUCAAUAUCAAACGGAAUGGACGGAGUCUUUUAUAGGAAAUAUUAAUAGCAGCAGAGAUGUAUCUACCUCAAAUUUUUUUGCAGAAUUCGACAGAGCUCCAAGAAAGAGAUCUUUAAAUAUGCAUGUGUCUAAUAUUUUUUUAGAAAGAACAAUAUGCAUAUAUACAAUAAGCCGAUACCUUUCAAAAAUUAUACAAGAUUAACAUCAAUAUGGACCAUGAAUUAAAGCCUUAAGGCUCCACAGGUUCAGACUCAAACUCAGGUGCAAGGGGGAGCUAUGACAAUUCACAAGGUUUUGAAUAUCCAUUUUCUACCGGCUAGUCUCUUGUAGUUUCUUGCCCUAUUCUGCUACUAUUUGUUGUUUCUUGUUCUUUGACUAUCGUAUUACUUUGUGAUUGUUACUGCUCUAUCAUGCUUUUAUAGUAUGUUGCCAUUCGUUUUUCGUUAUAUCCUUUUUCAUACUGAUUUGAAUUGAUUGUCCUUAUGCGGAGGGUCUGCCGGAAAAACCUCUCUACCUCCCAAGGUAGAGGUACGGUUUGCGUACACUCUACCCUCCCCAGACCCACUUUGUGGGGUUUCACUAGGUAUGUUGUUGUUGUAUUUUCUAUGUAUUUGCAAGAAGAUUUGCUAGAUGCCGACACAAAUAGUUGGUCAUAGUUAGACAUAUCUAAUUUACUGUCAAAUGAUAUUCGCACUUCUUCUCUUUCUUUCCCCCCCUCUUCUCUCCUGCUCUGUCUCAUUAACUCUCUUGAACAAAAGUUGGGGACAUUAUGACAGAAGAGGUAAUUUAAAGGCUCUUCUCUUCAUAAAAGAUUAUCGAAAUGUUAUUGUAGUAGCUUGCUCUGUAGUUAGAUUGUGAGACAUUUUAUUACAAUGAUGUCAAAUUUGUUUGUGUGGGUUGCAGAGCAAGCUCAUCACGGUCGCACCAGAAACUAAUUACUGAAAGUGAUGCAAUUGAUGACAGAUACCAUUGACCAGAACGGUAUGAUAGGGAUGGUGUAUGUUGGAGAUGUUGCAAGUGAGCGUUGGGAUGAACUGAACUAUUUAAAUACCAACAUACAAGGAGGUUAUUAGAUGAUGACGAUAAGACAAAUGGUUCAUGCCUUUAAUCUUGUAAAUAUCGACAUGCUUGGAUCUACUGCACUUCUUUUCCAGUUUUUGGAGUUUAUAACUAGUAGUUGUUUAAUAUGGUCGUUUGUUUAAACAAAAUAAACAGUGUUUCAUCUUGUUUUAAGGGAUUAACAAUAACAUAUUCUUCCAGUUAAGCUCAA